GCCUUAUUAGGGAUUAGGGUUUCUCUUUCGAAGUCAUUCGAGCUUUGGAGGCUAGGAUCAAUAAGUUUAAGAUCUUAGAUACAAAUUAGGUGCAAAUUUUGUAUGAUUUGGAGUUUUUAUGAAGGAAUUAUUGGCACUCAAAGUUAAGGUAUCAAUUUCAUACCUAUUGUCUCUCUUUGGGGCAUAACAUACGUUUAUAGAUAGCAACAAAGAAUUGGCAACUAGGUUUGGA
This 232-nucleotide long non-coding RNA is filed under the name Physcomitrium patens. RNAcentral's name for it is "long non-coding RNA (PPAT_LNC013761)". Lineage: Eukaryota; Viridiplantae; Streptophyta; Bryopsida; Funariales; Funariaceae. The record is from RNAcentral.